This 400-nucleotide ribosomal RNA is filed under the name uncultured bacterium. Its description in RNAcentral is "bacterial SSU rRNA". It matches the Rfam family "Bacterial small subunit ribosomal RNA", at positions 355 to 772 of the family's 1533-position model. The record is from RNAcentral.
UGGGGAAUAUUGCGCAAUGGGGGAAACCCUGACGCAGCAACGCCGCGUGGAGGAAGAAGGUCUUCGGAUUGUAAACUCCUGUCUUCUGGGACGAUAAUGACGGUACCAGAGGAGGAAGCCACGGCUAACUACGUGCCAGCAGCCGCGGUAAUACGUAGGUGGCGAGCGUUGUCCGGAAUUACUGGGCGUAAAGGGCGCGUAGGCGGUUCUUUAAGUUAGAUGUGAAAACCCAGGGCUUAACUUUGGGAGUGCAUUUAAAACUGAAGGACUCGAGUGCAGGAGAGGUAAGUGGAAUUCCUAGUGUAGCGGUGAAAUGCGUAGAUAUUAGGAGGAACACCAGUGGCGAAGGCGACUUACUGGACUGUAACUGACGCUGAGGCGCGAAAGCGUGGGGAGCGAA